GGUUCUGUAGCUCAGAGGUAGAGCGUCCGUCUCAUAAGCGGGUAGUCGUGGGUUCGAGCCCCACCAGAACUA
Molecule: transfer RNA, 72 nt
Filed under: Aphanothece sp. CMT-3BRIN-NPC111
Lineage: Bacteria; Bacillati; Cyanobacteriota; Cyanophyceae; Chroococcales; Aphanothecaceae
Description: tRNA-Met
Rfam family: tRNA
About the family: Transfer RNA (tRNA) molecules are approximately 80 nucleotides in length.
Source: RNAcentral